GUAGGACAAAUGAUCGCGGCUGUCGUAAGACAGGUGAGGAAAGUCCGGGCUUCAUAGGGCAGGAUGCCGGAUAACGUCCGGUGGAGGUGACUCCAAGGAAAGUGCAACAGAAAUAUACCGCCAUCGUUUCCGCACAGUACGGAUUAAAACGGAAAUGUGCACCAAGGGAGAAGAAGACUGCUUGCAGGCUUCUUCAAAAGCUUCCGCAUUGUGCGGAAGCGAUGGUAAGGGUGGAAAGGCAGCUUAAGAGACUACCGCCUGCACGGUAACGGGCAGGGCACAUGUAAACCCCAUCCGAAGCAAGACCAAACAGAAGGCGUUUGAACCGGCCCGGUGAGCCUUCAGGUAGGUCGCUGGAUGCUGCCGGUAACGGCAGUACUAGAUAGAUGAUCAUUCACGACAUAACCCGGCUUAUCGUCCUGCUUG
RNAcentral lists this RNase P RNA (426 nucleotides) under pig gut metagenome. RNAcentral describes it as "Bacterial RNase P class A". It matches the Rfam family "Bacterial RNase P class A". Rfam says of the family: Ribonuclease P (RNase P) is a ubiquitous endoribonuclease, found in archaea, bacteria and eukarya as well as chloroplasts and mitochondria. Its best characterised activity is the generation of mature 5'-ends of tRNAs by cleaving the 5'-leader elements of precursor-tRNAs. Cellular RNase Ps are ribonucleoproteins. The record is from RNAcentral.